This 248-nucleotide ribosomal RNA is filed under the name Triticum aestivum (bread wheat). RNAcentral's name for it is "partial small subunit ribosomal RNA". Lineage: Eukaryota; Viridiplantae; Streptophyta; Magnoliopsida; Poales; Poaceae. The record is from RNAcentral.
CAGCAGCGCGAGCCAACAGCCGGGAGCCUGCUCCCCUCCGUCGCGGGCCACUGCCGUGCCGCGCAGCUCCAGUCGCCGCGGGCCGCGACGCCCGCCUCCCGCCGCCUUGGGCCCCGCCGCGUCGCGCCCAGCGGCGUGAGCGAGCGAACAACCGUGAGCCGCGGCGCCCGCCUCCCGCCGCCUUGGGCCCCGCCGCGUCGCCCACGCCUCCAGCCGCCGCUCGCUAGGGUUGCUGUGUGUGAGUCGGG